RNAcentral lists this ribosomal RNA (465 nucleotides) under Vreelandella stevensii. Its description in RNAcentral is "partial 16S ribosomal RNA". It matches the Rfam family "Bacterial small subunit ribosomal RNA", at positions 338 to 795 of the family's 1533-position model. The record is from RNAcentral. Lineage: Bacteria; Pseudomonadati; Pseudomonadota; Gammaproteobacteria; Oceanospirillales; Halomonadaceae.
CCUACGGGGGGCAGCAGUGGGGAAUAUUGGACAAUGGGCGAAAGCCUGAUCCAGCCAUGCCGCGUGUGUGAAGAAGGCCUUCGGGUUGUAAAGCACUUUCAGUGGGGAAGAAAGCCUUGGGGCUAAUACCCUCGAGGAAGGACAUCACCCACAGAAGAAGCACCGGCUAACUCCGUGCCAGCAGCCGCGGUAAUACGGAGGGUGCGAGCGUUAAUCGGAAUUACUGGGCGUAAAGCGCGCGUAGGCGGUCUAAUAAGCCGGUUGUGAAAGCCCCGGGCUCAACCUGGGAACGGCAUCCGGAACUGUCAGGCUAGAGUGCAGGAGAGGAAGGUAGAAUUCCCGGUGUAGCGGUGAAAUGCGUAGAGAUCGGGAGGAAUACCAGUGGCGAAGGCGGCCUUCUGGACUGACACUGACGCUGAGGUGCGAAAGCGUGGGUAGCAAACAGGAUUAGAUACCCUGGUAGUC